CGCCGUUGAUGCGCGGACCGGAACCCUACCAUCUUCACCUUCGCCCCUGGAUAGCCGCACUUCCUGCGGUGCCCUAUCUUCCACACUCCCCUCAACUCUCUUCGCGUCUAUCAUGCGGACAUUCACGAAUAUCCCUUAUGGUGCAGGCGUGCGCCUUGGCCAGUGGAUGCUGAUGGGGAAUCGACGCGCUCCCCUUCUCCUGGCUGCCUUCUCCUCUCCGCUCUAGGCCUGCCAGCAAGUGCGCCCGUCCCUGCGAACGGGCUUGGAUGCACGGCAGCUCCUCAUACCAGGUUCCACGGAUCCCACUCCGUUGCGAUCCCUCUCUCACGCCGUUACGAGGUGUGCCGGAGAGGUGUGUUGCGUAGACGGCUGUGGUGGUGACGGUGCAGAAGGGGGGGCCUCUUCCGCUGGGCUCCGAUGGGCUGAUUGCGGGUGUUUGAAUGAUCAUGGUGCUGCGGGAGGACGUGCGGGUGUCGGAGGAGUUCGUCCGUCGCCUCGAGGACCCCGCCCAGGGCAGCUGCCUCGAAGCGGCUGCCAGCAGAUGGGUGGAAGGUGCCCGCGCCCGCUGCCGGGAGAAGGAGCGGGUGCGGACGUGGGACGCGCUGCGGCAGACGUGAGAGGGCAUGGAUAUCGCCGCCUCCGGGGUGCAUCCUCGCGUGCGCCGGCACCGACGGACGAGGACCCACGGGCGCUCUUCUCAGUUGCUUCCUCCGCGUUAGAACAGCGGAGUUCCAGGCAUCGCACUUGCCACUGCGGCGCCGUCGGCUGAGGAUAGCCCCCGGCCUGAGUGCGUGGACGCCUUGCUCGCCGGUGCCAUGGGGAUGCCAGCGCCGCCCAGCGACCGCCGGCCCGGAGAACACCCUCUCGACGGUGCGGGGAGGGACUACCGCUCUCGGCGCCGCUGCAUGCGAGCGGCGUAGCGGCCGUGGAUGCUGCGGUCGUGCGCGCGGCACUGCGGGCGGAGCGGAGGCGGCGGGCGAAGAGCUGUGGCAAGGUCUACGCGCGGGGCCGCGGCCGUAAUGAAAUGCUGCGAUUGCGGCCGUAGCGCUGCCGGCUCCGUCGUCUGCGUUUUGUGAGAGAGACAUGGGCUGAUGGGGAGGCGACCUAUCCUGUGGCCGCGAGCGGUGUGCCGGCGGCCCGCCGCGGAGGGAUGCAGGGAUUACGCCGCUCUGGACGGCUGGCCGUGGCUGGGCGCGGUGUGCAACGCUGGUGGAGUGGUGGACCGGAGGGCGUCCCCUUCGCCGGGUACCCAUGCCUGAGGGGUCUGAGCCCCCGUAUUUGUUGUGAGCGGCUGGCCGGAUGCCCUCUGAGCUGAGCGCCAUACCGGUGAGCUGACGCUCAGGCGCUGAGGGGAUGCCAACGGUGACAGCGAGACGGGCUGGCUGCCCUUGCUGGGCCGCGCAAGGUGCUAGGAAUGAGCAAGCUAGUGCGCCGAUUGCCGGCAUGCGGGGUGCAGGCUCAUUUUGCGGUGUGGGGCAAGCAGCAGGGUCGACGAUUUCGGCGGCAUGCCGGUUGAGGGUUGCUCUCAACAGCGACGAAGCGGAAGUGCCCCCCACCCCUUCCCCUCCCGGUGCUGCAGGAGUCGCUUGCGACCGGGAUGCGAGAGGCGUCUGCCUUGGAGGAAGAGCCGUCAAGGUGCUGCGCGCGGACCCGACUGGAAGCCUGACAUUGGACCCGCUGGGGCGUGUCCUGCGGCGACUGUGGUUGAGGGUCGGGCCCGUGGUGAUUGCUGCUCGUGGACGGCGGCGGCCUCUGUGUGGUGGCGCUUUACGCUGGCUGGCCGAUGGCAGGCCGCGCUUUCCGGGAGCGCCGAGGGUGAGGUGGACAAGCGGUGCCGGUGUGCCGCAGCGAGCACGCGACGGCGCAGCAGGCCGCCGCCGACGACCGGCGCUGUGCGCGGCCUCUGCGGCGACGCGACAUUGGGCGGAUGGGGACCCGCGCGCGUGAGGCGGGCGACAGAGGCAGCCGGCAUCACGGGCACGCGAUGGGGGCAUGGCCCCGCCGACGGCGUAGGUGCGGCAGCGCACCGGGCGGUAUCUCGGCGCUCUUUGUGUGGAGCUGCAAGGGCCGCGUGGCGCAUCGGCGCACAUACCCGGGGCGCUUUGCGGCGAGGACGCUCUGCGUGAGGGUGCCUCCAGCAGGCGCGACCACCAUCGACGUCGCUGUGUGCGGCAGCGACGCCAGCAACGACGACGAUGCCCCAAUCGUCAACCGUGAACGCGGCGCAUUGCCUGUGGAAGGACGUUCGCCGGGAUGGCGCAGGGGCGCUGGAUUUGGCCGGUGCUUCACCGGCUAGGCGCAGCACACCGUCGCAUUGUGGGCCUCACCGCGUAGUCUGCGCGCGGUAGGAGGUCGCUGCGCUGCGCCGCAACCGGCGAGGGAGGAGACGGUCGGCGUCGUCGUGGACGUCUGCGGCAGGGAGGACGCGCUGCGCGGCGUCAUCAAGGCACUUGGUGUGCCAGCUGUCGAGGCCUGCCACGACCUGCUCGGCGUUAUGUCGGCAUCAUGCUGCACGGCCGCGUCCAUGCUGAAUACCGAGACACGCGUGGCUGUGCUGAGGCCGCGUGCGGCGGACAUCCUGAGGCGUGUGUGGAGCGGGGCGCUGACGCUGGCGUGCGGUCGCCGCAUGUGCCACAUCGUGGCGGUGCUGCCGCCGGAGUCGCUGGCCGUGGCGAGCACGCUACUGCCACUGCUGGACCUGUCCACGGACCCCUCCCACUGGAGCCGUUCUCGGCACGGAGGUGAUUGUGGACGCCGUGCGCAGGAACGGAGGCGGCUUGGAUGAGCUGCUUGCCGCGUCUGAUGAGCGCCGUGUGCGGGCAGGAGGGCGCACGAAUGAGAGGCUGCUGAGGGCCGUGCGGCGCUGCGGGGCAUGGCGUUGUGCGAUCCCGUAGGGUGUGCGUGGCUGCUCGGCCACAAGCUUCUGUGCUGCGCCUCCCGGUGCUGGUGGCUGUAGACGCGAGGUGAGAUGAGGAUGUGACGGGGGAGGGCUGGUGGUGGAUGUGUGCGAGCGCGUGGGUGUCGGGGCGGAGGGGCGUGUGCGCUGACGUAGGGUCCCCCUCACGUGCUGCGACGGGCACUGCCGCCCUCGUCGCCCCCUCGCGCGCACACGGGGUCGCUGCGCCUGACACCCCCUGCUCACUGGCGGCCUCCGCCUUUGUUGUGGUGCAGGGCUGCUGCGGUGCGGUGUCUGCGCGUGCUCGGUCCGUCUGCGCCCGCCGUGUCUCUCCCUGCUGUGUGCCGCGAGCGGGAUGAGCGGUGGCGGUGCGGCGCCGGUGGUGUCGGCGGAUUGUCGCGGCGGUGCCGUGCGUGAGGGCCGCGACGAUGGCGGUGCUUUUGUGUGCCGGUGUCUCCACCGGCGGUGCUGUGGUCGAUGUGUCUUCUGCUGUGUGGGCCUAUGGAGGGGGCUGGUGUUGGGCUGCGACGGUGCGUGGUGGGCGGUGCUGCAUCCCGCCCGCACACACACCGAGGCCGCCCCCCCUCCCCUGCGCACGCAGGUGCUGCUAGGGCAACGCCGAAACGAGAAUGACGCAGCGGGAGGCCCCCGUGCGGUAGGUUGUGCGACUGCGUGUCUUUGCACCGUCUUCCCUCGUCCUCGCGGUGCGGCGCGCGACUUGUUUGCAGCCGCGGCUAAACGAAGGGGGCGGGGCCAGUCGCGAGGAGGAGGACGCUGCGGGUGCGGGGGCUGUGUGCGGCGCGAGGGGUGGAGCGGGGCUGCCCGGAGGGUAGCGAGCAGUGCCCUCUGUCCUCUCUGCUUGCCCCCCUCUCGUGCGCGCCUGUCUCUCCCUCGCUGCCGUUGCGGCGCGCGGCACAUCUGCCGGCCUCCUCUCCUGAUCCUUUUUGCCUGUGUGCGUGCCAGCCACUACUGGCCCAUGCGCUCCCGCUGUGCACGCCUGGCAGUCUCACCUGCCUGUCUCCUCCCCCUGCCUCCCCCCACUCUCUGUCUCUCCGUCCCUUCCCUCUCUCUCCUCGCCGCUUUCCACUCGUGCCCGCGCUGGCCAUCCGUCUUUGCCCUCUCGCCACACGCGCGCACAACCAAACGAACGCCGACAACGCGCGCGUGCACAUGCAACGGCGACACGUGCACGCCUGCAUAUCUGCAUAUGCUGUCAAGGCUCUUCCUCGCUGUCUUCGGCUUGCACCCCCCGCGCCCUCCUCGCCGGCUCUGUUGCGCCAUCUCGACCCCCUGCGCUUCGCUCUUUCUCCUGUGUGCGUUUUUUGAGGGUUCGUUUCGGUAAGAUAUGCGUAGUAUUGAAAAUGGUGUUUAUGCUGGGGGUGCUGGUCUACGUGGUCCUGCAGUUCAUCGCGCUCUUGUGCGUGCUGAUCGGCAGUUUUCUUGACAUGUUCCGUUUUAUUCCGUUCUAUCGCCAAAACAACCUGCCUUGCCUCACCUUAUGGGGCUAUAAAGUGGAUUGCUACUCCACAAAGUACGUCCUGUCGUCGAACCAGCGUUGGGCAUCAUGCCCUGCGCGCCGCGACCGGUUUCGCGGUUCUCAGGCGUUGGUCAUCAUCUCGAUCUGUGUGUACGGCGCGGCGGUCGUCUUCGGCUUUCUGAUGCUCUUUCGCUUUGCUUUUUGCCGCUGGCUCUGCCUGGCGCUAAACAUACUUGGCGUCUGCACCUUGGGCAUCACCGGGGCAUUGGUUAUGGUGGCGUAUUACAUUGACGAGGGCAUCGACUGUCCGGAGCUGAGGGUGGACUUUAAGUAUGGCGUGGGAUUCGCUCUCCUCAUGGUGGCGUGGGUCUUGGAUAUCUUCAACACUCCCAUAUUGUGGCUUCCGUGGCCAACUGUGAACUCUGCUGAGAAUGUGAACCACAGUAAUGGCACCUUAAACUGCAGAAAAGGGGGAGCAAAAAGCGACGAGCGAACUUGACGGCAGCGCGGCAGCUCCAGCGGGACGUCCUUGUGAAGGGGCCGGCGGAGCUGAUGCCGUCGGGAAACACGGAGGGAGCUGAGGCUGCGGACGCUCGCUUCCGCCUUUCGCCGGCAUCUCUCUCUCUCUCUCGGCGACUCCUCGUGCGUGCGUGCGCGUUCCUUCCCGAGUCUGGCUUUGGUUUCGCUCUCGAGCGGCUGUGCUGAGGCCGCGUGCGGCGGACAUCCUGAGGCGUGUGUGGAGCGGGGCGCUGACGCUGGCGUGCGGUCGCCGCAUGUGCCACAUCGUGGCGGUGCUGCCGCCGGAGUCGCUGGCCGUGGCGAGCACGCUACUGCCACUGCUGGACCUGUCCACGGACCCCUCCCACUGGAGCCGUUCUCGGCACGGAGGUGAUUGUGGACGCCGUGCGCAGGAACGGAGGCGGCUUGGAUGAGCUGCUUGCCGCGUCUGAUGAGCGCCGUGUGCGGGCAGGAGGGCGCACGAAUGAGAGGCUGCUGAGGGCCGUGCGGCGCUGCGGGGCAUGGCGUUGUGCGAUCCCGUAGGGUGUGCGUGGCUGCUCGGCCACAAGCUUCUGUGCUGCGCCUCCCGGUGCUGGUGGCUGUAGACGCGAGGUGAGAUGAGGAUGUGACGGGGGAGGGCUGGUGGUGGAUGUGUGCGAGCGCGUGGGUGUCGGGGCGGAGGGGCGUGUGCGCUGACGUAGGGUCCCCCUCACGUGCUGCGACGGGCACUGCCGCCCUCGUCGCCCCCUCGCGCGCACACGGGGUCGCUGCGCCUGACACCCCCUGCUCACUGGCGGCCUCCGCCUUUGUUGUGGUGCAGGGCUGCUGCGGUGCGGUGUCUGCGCGUGCUCGGUCCGUCUGCGCCCGCCGUGUCUCUCCCUGCUGUGUGCCGCGAGCGGGAUGAGCGGUGGCGGUGCGGCGCCGGUGGUGUCGGCGGAUUGUCGCGGCGGUGCCGUGCGUGAGGGCCGCGACGAUGGCGGUGCUUUUGUGUGCCGGUGUCUCCACCGGCGGUGCUGUGGUCGAUGUGUCUUCUGCUGUGUGGGCCUAUGGAGGGGGCUGGUGUUGGGCUGCGACGGUGCGUGGUGGGCGGUGCUGCAUCCCGCCCGCACACACACUGAGGCCGCCCCCCUCCCCUGCGCACGCAGGUGCUGCUAGGGCAACGCCGAAACGAGAAUGACGCAGCGGGAGGCCCCCGUGCGGUAGGUUGUGCGACUGCGUGUCUUUGCACCGUCUUCCCUCGUCCUCGCGGUGCGGCGCGCGACUUGUUUGCAGCCGCGGCUAAACGAAGGGGGCGGGGCCAGUCGCGAGGAGGAGGACGCUGCGGGUGCGGGGGCUGUGUGCGGCGCGAGGGGUGGAGCGGGGCUGCCCGGAGGGUAGCGAGCAGUGCCCUCU
RNAcentral lists this unclassified non-coding RNA (6263 nucleotides) under Leishmania donovani. RNAcentral describes it as "gene:LdHU3.31.0690(CDS-product:Amastin_surface_gl ycoprotein_putative)". The record is from RNAcentral. Lineage: Eukaryota; Euglenozoa; Kinetoplastea; Trypanosomatida; Trypanosomatidae.